CAGCCUUCAGAGCUCCGUAAUGAAGUUGUAGCUCAAUCUCCAGAGCAUUAUAAGGAUUGAAUCUCCAGUCAGGCAACAGGCCACAGCUCAGACUCCAGAUCCCUCUAAGGAAGUAGAACUUUCUCCAGUCCCACAAGAGUUCCCAGCUGAGCCACCAGCGCCCCCUAAGGAGGCUGAACCAUCUGCAACCCAGCAGGAAGCCUCAGGUCGUCCUCCAAAGUCCACUGAAGAGGUCAGUCCUCCACCACAGCAGGAGAUACCAGCUCAGUCAUCAGAGCCACCUGAGAAGGUUGAACCAUCUCCAGUCCUACAGAAGGCCUCAACUCAGGUUUUAGAGCCACAUCCAAAGUAAUUAACUGGCUGGGCACGGUGGCUCAUGCCGGUAAUCCCAGUGCUUUGGGAGGCCAAGGCAGGUAGAUCACCUGGGGUCAAGAGUUCAAGACUAGCCUGGCCAACAUGGUGAAACCCCGUCUCUACUAAUACUACAAAAGUUAGCCGGGUGUGGUCAUGGGCACCUGUAAUCCCAACUACUCAGGAGGCUGAGGCAGGUGAAUCGCUGGAACCUGGGAGGCAGAGGUUGCAGUAAGCCGAGAUCGCACCACUGCACUCCAGCCUGGGCAGCAGAGCGAGACUCCGUCUCAAAAAACAAACAAACAAACAAAACAAAGUAACUAACUGGCAUUAUCUGUUCAAGAGAUUGGACAGAUAGGAAGUUAAACUUCCCGGAGAUGCCUCAUCAUUUGUGCCAGUGACCCCACAUUAUUUGUGCAAACUGGGAAGCUGAUAGCUAGUUUUUCCAAUUCAAGAGUCAUCAUGAGGAUGUUCUCAAUUGUUAUAAGUGGGACUUGUGUUGU
Molecule: long non-coding RNA, 854 nt
Filed under: Macaca mulatta (Rhesus monkey)
Lineage: Eukaryota; Metazoa; Chordata; Mammalia; Primates; Cercopithecidae
Description: lncRNA (ENSMMUG00000055316.1)
Source: RNAcentral